This 28-nucleotide non-coding RNA is filed under the name Macaca fascicularis (crab-eating macaque). Lineage: Eukaryota; Metazoa; Chordata; Mammalia; Primates; Cercopithecidae. RNAcentral also lists the same sequence under 1 other name. The record is from RNAcentral.
UGCAAUGGUUAGGCAAGAGAUGAUGAGC